GCCCUCGUAGUAUAAUGGACAGAAUGCCUCGCUUCGAACGAGGAGAUAGGGGUUCGAUUCCUCUCGAGGGCG
Molecule: transfer RNA, 72 nt
Filed under: Candidatus Wolfebacteria bacterium CG03_land_8_20_14_0_80_36_15
Lineage: Bacteria; Candidatus Wolfeibacteriota
Description: tRNA-Arg
Rfam family: tRNA
About the family: Transfer RNA (tRNA) molecules are approximately 80 nucleotides in length. Their secondary structure includes four short double-helical elements and three loops (D, anti-codon, and T loops).
Source: RNAcentral